RNAcentral lists this small RNA (30 nucleotides) under Bombyx mori (domestic silkworm). Its description in RNAcentral is "ovarian small RNA-28032". The record is from RNAcentral. Lineage: Eukaryota; Metazoa; Arthropoda; Insecta; Lepidoptera; Bombycidae.
UCCUUCGGCUGGUCGUAAGACCAUCGAGGC